This 554-nucleotide ribosomal RNA is filed under the name Rhizophagus irregularis. RNAcentral describes it as "SSU rRNA". It matches the Rfam family "Eukaryotic small subunit ribosomal RNA", at positions 557 to 1112 of the family's 1831-position model. The record is from RNAcentral. Lineage: Eukaryota; Fungi; Glomeromycota; Glomeromycetes; Glomerales; Glomeraceae.
AAGUCUGGUGCCAGCAGCCGCGGUAAUUCCAGCUCCAAUAGCGUAUAUUAAAGUUGUUGCAGUUAAAAAGCUCGUAGUUGAAUUUCGGGGUUAGUAGGUUGGUCAUGCCUCUGGUAUGUACUGAUCUCACUGAUUCCUCCUUCCUUAUGAACCGUAAUGCCAUUAAUUUGGUGUUGCGGGGAAUUUGGACUGUUACUUUGAAAAAAUUAGAGUGUUUAAAGCAGGCUAACGCUUGAAUACAUUAGCAUGGAAUAAUGAAAUAGGACGUUCGAUCUUAUUUUGUUGGUUUCUAGGAUUGACGUAAUGAUUAAUAGGGAUAGUUGGGGGCAUUAGUAUUCAAUUGUCAGAGGUGAAAUUCUUGGAUUUAUUGAAGACUAACUACUGCGAAAGCAUUUGCCAAGGAUGUUUUCAUUAAUCAAGAACGAAAGUUAGGGGAUCGAAGACGAUCAGGUACCGUCGUAGUCUUAACCAUAAACUAUGCCGACUAGGGAUCGGAUGAUGUUAAUUUUUUAAUGACUCAUUCGGCGCCUUACGGGAAACCAAAGUGUUUGGGU